Molecule: long non-coding RNA, 1700 nt
Organism: Cydia pomonella (codling moth)
Lineage: Eukaryota; Metazoa; Arthropoda; Insecta; Lepidoptera; Tortricidae
Exons: 2
Source: RefSeq, a predicted model, not a curated record
UCGAGCGAUCGAAAUUCAAAAAUCGGUCCCCAGAUCACCUCAUACAAAAAUAGAUUCAGCGACAUACUGUUUGAGCUUAGAGGCAGAAUGCUGUAGGUAUGUGGGGUAGUUUAAUAUAAUAAAUACUUUUAAUUAUUAAAAAAAACAACGGGUUGCACUGCGGGAGUGCCGGCAGAAGUGAAAACUUGAAUAUUAACGUUGUUCAUUAUUGAUAUUUUGGAAUGGUUAGGGAAUAAUUUUUCACGAGUUGCUUUAAUUGCCGGGCAAAAAUAAGAGCUUGGUAAAAGAUAUCUUAUUCACAACACGCUAUUACAUUUUGUCUAUAAGUGAAUGAGACAACAAUUCGCAAUUACUUUCGUUUUAUUUCAGACUUGUCACAUAAAUUUAAAAAGCAUAGAUUACUAAGCCGCACAUCCUUGCACGCGGUCGAAUGCUGAUAGCGACCCUGCGGCACCCCAUCUAAGGCGGAGCCGGCAUUCGUUGGUGGUUUUAGACGGUAGUCCUCUACUUGUUAGUCCGUCAUCGCCCCUGGUUUCCCCCGGACUAGGUGGCAUGCGUAAAAGCAUUUCCCCAAAAAAAGGCCGCACAUCCUUAGUGAAGCCACUUCAGCUGCGACAUAAUGUCGCACUCGUUCGUACGGCCCACGCAGUACUCAAGGUUGAGUCGGUUUGUGUACACCUCCCGGUUGUAAAUUAAAAAAAUACAGGAAAGAUGGCUGUUUGUGCGGUGAAUGUGUGUCACAAUUCAUCACUUAAUAAAAACAAAUCUCCUGAUUUUACAUUCCACGCGUAAGCAUCUAGUUUAAUAUGAUAUUUUUACGUAAUUGUGAAUACAAAAAUCCAAACCUUCGUCAGUCGCCAUUGCUUAUAAAUGUUGCCUGUAAAUUAAUCAUUUUUCCUCAUAGACCUUCGUAAAGACUGGCCUUACGAGCACUACGAAUGGGGUCGAUACAUAGGCGUCAAAAUCGCAUUUAGUUACACCGCUGCGCUCAGUCGUGGAAGCGCGUCACGUAAUGCCAUUGACAAUUUUUUAAAUGUCUAAUUGUGUUGUGAAAUUGUGUAAAAACUAUUACAGAAAAAUCAAAUACACGUAUGAGAUUUCAUAUAAUCGGUAAAUCAUUUCAAUUACAUUACAAUUAGUAUCCAGCCUUCUUCUUUUACUAGAUUUUGUUAUAAAAUUCAACAUGUGUGUAAAUCCCUAUUCGAAAUUGAUUUUAAUAUGACAAUUGUGCGCUGCACAAAGUACAAAGAAACCAGCUAUUCAGUUAUUUACCAGUUCAACACACUUGUGCUAAAGUCAAGAUGUCUGCGCGCAGGGCUUGGAGCUGGCGUACGAAUGCUGGGAGUGGUUCACGCUCGUGUUCGCGCCGCUCAUGAUCAUGCUCAUGGCGGCGCUGUCGGCGCACUGCUGCUGCAGCCUGCGCGGCUCGCUCGCCGCCAUCUUCACGCCCGUGCUGGCCAUCGUCUUCUACUGGAUUACAUUAUACUUCGUAUUCGUGGUGAACAGCCAACGCAUGAAGGCCUUCCCGUCGCGCCCGUGAUCCCGGAGGCACUUGUGUGCUGUUUCUUUAUUUUUGACCUUGGUUUUCUGAGUAAAGCAUUCUUUUUUUGUCGAUGAUUACUACUAAGCGUACAUAUGAUUGAGGGGAUACCUAAUUUGACACAUGUUGGACAAUAUUGAAUAAAUGUUUACACGUAAAA